RNAcentral lists this ribosomal RNA (88 nucleotides) under Microcebus murinus (gray mouse lemur). Lineage: Eukaryota; Metazoa; Chordata; Mammalia; Primates; Cheirogaleidae. The record is from RNAcentral.
GUCCAUGGCCAUAUCACCUGAACGCACCCGAUCUUGUCUGAUCUCGGAAGCUAAGCAGGGUUGGGCCUGCCUGGUUAGUACUUGGACU